GCGUUGAAAGUCGAUUACGCCAAUAGACAUAGAGUUGUGCUGCCUAGCCUUGUUUCCUAUCCUACUAUCAUAGACCUUUGUCAAGUUAUUACCCCGCCCUCUUGAAUUUGCACCUUAUCUGUGAGGCUGAAUGGUGUUAACGUUUUGGAUUGUCUCGAUGAGUUUAUUUAUAAUGAAUGGUACUUAUGUUGGUUCUUGUCACUUAGUUUUCUCAUGCAACUGGCGCCAAGGCGAUGGAUCUUUAUAGGGUUGCCGUUGCUCUGUAGGUCCUCUAGCUGAUUAUUCUAUAGCUUCUAAGUCUUGCUAUAGCUGAUUCUAAGAAGUUCCUGGUCUCCCGUCCUAAUUCUAUAGCUUCUAAGUCUUGCUAUAUAUACUUCGAAAAUCAAACCUUGCUACCUUAUGUAUGAUCAUAUACCUGUUACUAUAAUGAUCAAUGAGAUUUAUAGGAGCAAGGGCAUCGAUUGGUUUCACCUCCUGCAAGGGCAUCGAUUGGUUUCACCUCCUCAUUCGCGCACAGGUAAUGGUUUGGCACCUUGUGAAUACUCCCUCUGUUCUGAAUUACUUGUCGCAGGUAUGGAUGUAUCUAGAUGUAUUUUAGUUCUAGAUACAUCUAUUUCUGCGACGAAUAAUUUGAAACGGAGGGAGUAGAAGUGAGGCGGUGGUGGUUCUAGAUCCAGGGUGUUUGCUGGCGAUUUCGUCGCUCCCCUUCCCCUCCUAUCAUCGUAUUGGCAUCGCGAGGGGGAGGGGAGCUCCGGUCUCUCGUCCAGGCGCGUUUUAAUCUUUAGAGAGGUUUUUGAGUUUCCUCCGCCGAUGUCAUGUGGUGGUGCUCAUUGGAAUAAUGAUCUCUCAGCCCGUGCUCCUGCUCGUUGUAGGUGUUGCUGGUGCCGACGAGAGCUUAUGGGGUCCAAGCUGUCAGUGCGGUUACGAUCUGGUGUUGCAUCUUGGCAUGGCGGUGGCGAUGCUCUUGGAGUGCGGCGGUGAUGACUGGUGCGGAUUUGAGGAAGAUGGUGGAGAAUACGACCACCUAUUGAAGGGCGGGUUGGCGUUGACCCUGAAGCCGGCGUUGAAGAGGCUUGGACUCGUUCCUUAUCGGGCUAGAUCCAGAAGCCGGUGUUGAAGAGGCUCGGACCCCAAUUAAUGUUCCUUAUCGGGCUAGAUCCAGCCUUUAGCUCAUUAACGGACUUCGAUUGAUGUUCCUUAUCAGGCUAGAUUCAGCCUUUAGCUCAUUAACGCCUCCUGGCUAGGGAUGGUAUGCAGGUGUACAACCGCUUGUAUUCUCUUUGUUUUCUGUUGUUUGUCAUAUCAUCCAUGUAUCCUUAAAUAAAAGUAAUGUGUGCCUACGGGCGUGCAUCCUUUUUUCUGGCUUUGCAUUAUUCACAUCGUUAUGACAAAAUUGGCUACAGAGUAAUUAACAUCAUUCUCUCGGUCCAUGGACCCGAGCAUCACUCUAUAGCUAGCAGUGUCAGCAGUCGACGACACUGCAAGCGGGCAAUUUCCUCACACGCCUAUCCUCCAUCCGCUGCCUGACCUCCAUGGCGUCGCUCCAUCUAUCAGCCCCCGCAUACGCAUUGCUCAUCAGCGUGUAGUCCCCGCCGUUCCCGCCGUCCAGCUCCCUGAGCCUCUCGGCGGCCACCUCGGCGACGCCCAAAUCACCGUGCGUUCUGGCCGCCCCCAGCAGUAUCCUGUAGACGACGGGCUCAGGAGCGACGGGCAUCUCGGCGAUGAACCCCAGCGCUUUCGUCAGCCGACCGGCGCGCCCCAGGAGGUCGACGACGACGCCGUAGUGCUUCAUCUGCGGCUCCACGCCGUGGACCGACCUCAUGCUCUCGAAGUGGCCGAGCCCCUCCUCGACGAGCUCCGCGUUGGCGCACGCGAUCAGCACACCGAGGAAGGUGACCUCGUUCGGCCUGAACCCUUCGGCGAGCAUGGCGCGGAAGGCGCCCAGGGCUUCGUGUUCGGAGCCGUUGUUCGCCAGCCCCAUUAUGAUCGAGUUCCAUGACAGGGUGUCCUUCUCUUUCGUUUCUCUGAAGACCUGCAGCGCCUCCUUGGUGCUUCCGCAUUUCGCGUACAUGUCGAUCAGAGAAUUGUGCAGGAUGGUGUCGGCUUCGAUGCCGUGUCGCCUCACGUAGUCGUGGAUCCACUUGCCGAGAUCGAGAGCGCCUAGGUGCGCGCAGGCAGAGAGUACACUCGCGAGCACGACCGCGUCCGGUUUCACCUUGGCUCUCUGCAUCUGCCUGAAGAGUUCCAAGGCGUCAGAGAACUGACUGGCUUGUGAAUAGCCGGAUAUCAUAGAGCUCCAUGAGAUCAGAUCUUUGCUAGGAAUUUCCUCGAAUAACCUUCUUGCGGAGACCAGAUCCCCCGCUUUCGAAUAUGCGGUGAUCAUUGCGUUCAUUGUCACGGUGUUCCUAUCCUUCAUGUUGAAGAAAACCUUUUCAGCCGAUUGCAGCUGCCCACGUCUGCCAUAGUAAUCUAUCAAAGUAUUGCCCAAGUAGAUAUCCACCUCUAUGCAGUAAUCCUCUAUGUACUUGACCAAGCAAUCUGCCAUGCUCCAAUCUCCUAGACGAGUGCACGCAGAAACAACCUUGACCAUAGUGACCUUAUCAGCUCUCACUCCUUCGCCGUGCAUCAACCUGAAUAACUUCAAGACCUCUUGUAAUCUAUUGCACUGGCUGUAUCCACAUAUCAAAGAGUUCCAGGACACCACAUCCUUAACCAGCAUCUCAUGGAAAACAGAUCUUGCGCAGCACAAAUCACCACAGGCAGCAUAUAGAUGAAUCAGCGAAUUGGAAACGAAGAUAUCCGAAAGAAGCCCGAAUUUCAGUACAUGGUUGUGCAUCUGUUUCCCUUCCUUAAGAGCACUAAUCCUUGCACAAGCCUUCACUACAAAUGGGAACGUCAGGUUGUCCGGCUCCAUACCUUCUCCUCGAGCCUUCUUGUAGAAAGCAAUUGCAUCUUCUGGUGCAUCGCUUUGAGCAAGCCCCCUGAGUAUGAUAUUCCGAAGGUAAGUUGUUGGUGCUUCAAUCUGCCCAUAUACUUUAUGAGCAAGAGCCAAAUCUGGUUGUAGAAUAGCAUAGAAUCUGAGAAUCUUAGACAUUGCAUAUUGGCAAUUGUACAGACCAGAAACAAUGAGAUGGCCAUGAAGCUUCUUUAUGGCUUCCAUCAUUACAAUGCUGAAAGAAAACUGGAUUUUUUUCAUGAACAGUGGAUCAGUGAGGGGAAAUGCAGUAUGGCACAUGUCACUCAACACAUCUGCUUCCUGGAAGGGAUUAACAAGAUAAGUAAAAGAGCAACAAAAAGUAAUACUGUGAACUAGUACAAAAGCGGCAAAGAAUAAUACCGUGAACUAGUCUUUUUGAAAAUGGAACAAAUGACCAUAUUGUCGAUGCUUAUUAACAACAUAUUAUACAAAAAAACGAAUAGUGGAUAAUGAGAUUGUGAUUUUUAAAUACAAAGGUCAUAUGAUUCAACAAUCAUUCAGCAACAACAACAAAGCCUUUAGUCCCAAACAUGUUGGGGUAGGCUAGAUUUGAAACCCAUAAGAUAAAAAACUCUCAGUUCUUCUAUCUUUGCACGAAAGAUAUAAAAGGUAAAAGAACACAAUAAACCCACCAUAAAGUAGGAAGAUCUAAUCGCAUUUGGUAUAAUGCAGGGAGACAAUUGUAAUGAUGGAACAAAAACUCUUAAAACUGCAUGGAGCUUCUUCCCAUGAUUUGGUUCUGAAUUACUGACUCUCAUCAACCAAAGCAAGCCCAGGAACCUUAACAGCAUUUCUCUCAUCUACUAGCUUUCGUGCUCUUUCAGCAUCACUAAACCUACCGAGCUCAGUAAGCAUAUUGGAUACCACCACAAAAUCACCUCCAGAUUCUCUUUCAAUGUCUAGUAUUUUCUUCAUUGCCCUCUUCCCCAUCUCCACUUCUCCAUACUUACUGCAACAACCCAGCAGUGUCCUCCACACAACUGAAUUAACCUCCAUAGGCAGACCACUUAUUACUUGCUCAGCCUCACAUAAUCGUCCAGCCCUCCCUAGCAUGUCUAUGAUACAACCAAAAUGUUUGAUCUCUGGAGUUAGAUUGUAUUCAUAAACCAUGCUUCUGAAAAACAGUACUCCUUGCUCGACCAGCCCGCCAUGGUUGCAAGCAUUGAGAACACUUAAGAAGGUGACUCUGUUAGGCCUGAUUCCAGCUCUUCUCAUCUCUGCAAACAGUUCAACUGCCUCAGUUGACAACCCGUGCAUUGCAAGCCCUGAAAUUAUUGAUGUCCAUGACACCAAGUUUCUCCUACCCAGCAUUUCAUGGAAAAUCUUCAGUGAGUUGUUUAUAGACCCAAGCUUGGCAUACAAGUCUAUGAGCGAAUUCCCAACUCGGAUAUCCAACACAAGAAGACCCUUCUUCUCACAAUAGCCGUGCAAGGCCUCGCCCAAAAGAAUCCUUCCAAUAUUUGAUACCGCAGGUACAACCGCUAAAACAGUUAUCUCGCUUGGAUCAACGCCUUCAGCCAUCAUGCGGCGAAAGAGAGCAACGGCCUCCACAGACCGACAGGAGCGUGUGUACCCAUCAAUCAUCCCGGUCCACGAGACAACAUUCCUACAGGGCAUCCGCUCAAAGAGCAGCCUCGCGUACUCAACCUCGCCCCGCGCAGCAAACCCGGUGAUCACCACGUUCCAAGUAACCGCAUUCUUCGCCGGCAUCUCCUCGAACGCAAUCCGAGCAUCCGCCAGGCACCCGCACACGACAUAUGCGUUGACAAGGGCGGUAUGCACGUAGGCGUGGAUCUCGAACCCCUUGCGGACGGCGAGCCCGUGCAGCUGCGCGCCGGCCCGCGGCCACGCCAGGGCCGCGCAGGCCCCGAGGGCGUGCACGAAGGCGUAGGUGUCGUCGGCCGCGUGCCGGCGCGCGUCCCUGAAGAGGCUCAGGGCCUCCUGGGGGAGAGGGCCGCGGGAGUAGGCCUUGAGGAGCGCGUGCCAGGGCGUGGGACGGCGAUCGAACACCUGGCGGGCAACGAGCUGGGCGUGGAUCUGGAGGAGCGGGCGCCUCUCCGCCUGGUGCCUCAGGAGGAGGGCGACCAGGCCCCGGACGUGGGCGGCGGCGGCGUCGUGGGAGGGCGCGCAGCCCUGCCGCAAGAGGUCAGCCGGGAACCGCGCCAUGAGGGGGGCUCCGUCUUCUCCAGCCCUACCAACGCCUCUCUCGUCUACUUAGAAUAUGUCAUGGUGCAAUGGAGUGAGAGAGAGAGAGAGAGAGAGAGAGAGAGAGAGAGAGAGAGGCAUUACCUUGUCUGGAGAGAAGGUGGAGGAGGCUCGACUCGAAAUCGUCCUAGGCUUUCUCCCUCCCGCGCCGGCGUCCAGGACAAAAAGAAUGUGCUUUUGCUUGCGCUUCCCGGGCGGACCACGUUGCUCUGUUGACAGUUGACACGAGGCAACUCGCCGCCCGAUCCUCACUCGUCGCUCCUCCUCGAUGUUGCGCAGGGUCCUCGCCGGAGCGAUCACGCGCCUCUCCGGCCCCGGAUUCUCCAGCCCACCGCCGAGGAGACGGCCUCUCCUCCCGCCCAACGCCCCGCGCCUCUCCACCGCGCGGGUGCCGUCCGGCGGCGGCGAGGGCAGCGAGGGGGAGGAUGACGACGACCCGUUCUCCUUCCCGGACCAGCAGCAGCUCCCGCCGGACGUGGCGCGGGGCGUGGACGCCGUCGUCGCGGCGGCCGAGGGCGCCCACUUGGACGCCGCGCGCGCCGGGGCCCUCCUGGAGCAAUGCGGCGCCGCGGCUUCCGAGACGCUCGUGGUGGCCGCGCUCUCGCGCCUCCGCAACAGCUGGGCCGCCGCGCACGCCGCGUUCCGGUGGGCGGCCUCGCGGGGGCGGCCGCAGCCCGGGUACGCCCCGGGGCGCCACGCGUGCCACUCCAUGCUCGCCAUCCUCGCCAGGCACCACCGCUUCGACGACGCCCGCGCCCUGCUCGACGAAAUGCGCCGCAGGUCGCUCGCGUCGCCGAGGGCGGUGCUCCUCCUAAUCCGGCGCUACUGCGCCGCGCGUGACGUUGCUAGCGCGAUCGCCGCGUUCCGCUCGCUCCCGAGCUUCGGCAUUGAGCCCGGGGUCACCCAGUUCCAUGGCCUCCUCAGCGCCCUCUGCCGGUACAAGAACGUCAAGGACGCGGAGCACCUGCUUCUGUCGAGCGGGAAGGAGUUCCCGUUCGAGACCAAGGGCUUCAACAUCGUGCUCAACGGCUGGUGCAACAUGGUCUGCAGCACGCGGGAGGCCAAGAGGUUUUGGGUCGUCAUGGAGCUCAGGGGCAUCGCGAGGGACGUUGUGUCUUAUGGGAGCAUGAUCUCGUGCUUCUCGAAGGCCGGGAGCUUGGACUCGGUCAUGAAGCUCUUUAACCGCAUGAAGGAGGCUGGCAUUGUGCCUGACCGGAAGGUGUACAAUGCAGUUGUGCACGCGCUCGCCAAGGGACGGUGCGUGGAUGAGGCAAGAGCGCUCGUCCGGAGUAUGGAGGAGAAGGGGGUUGCACCAGACACGGCCACUUACAACUCCCUCAUUCGGCCUCUUUGCAAGGCUCGUCAGGUCCAGGAGGCAAGGGAGAUGUUUGAUGAGAUGGUAGGAAGGGGGCUGUUGGCAUCGGUGAGGACAUUCCAUGCAUUGUUCGAUGUUGCUACAAGCCCCACUGAGGUCUUUGAUCUGUUGGACAAGAUGAAGGCACUACAUUGCAAGCCAGAGAUGGACACUUAUAUUAUGUUGAUCCGGAAGUUCUGCAGGUGGAAGCAGCACGACAGUGUGGAGAAACUGUGGAACGCAAUGCCUGCAAACGGACUGACCCCUGAUCGGAGUGCAUACAUCGUGUUCAUACAUGGAUUGUUCCUGAAUGGGAAGCUAGAGGAGGCUGCAAAGUAUUUUGAGGAGAUGAAAGUCAAGGGAUUUUCACCAGAGGAGAAGACUGAAUCAAUGAUACAGGCGUGGCGUUCAGGCAGAGAGCUUGCCAAGGCAUCGGCUUCUGUCGGUUCAAAACAUGGUUCUGUGUCUCUCAAAGUAACUCGUAGAGAGUGGUAAAGAUGAAGAGCACUUGAAAGUGAUCUAUAGAAAGAAACACAGCUGUUGUUUUCGAGUAACUGCUAGACACUGGAGAGAGAUUAUUUGGUUAUUCAGAAAGAUGAGUCUGAUUACUUUCAAGUGAUCUUCAUCUACUUUGUUGUGGUUGGUUUGGUCAAGGAAGCCACGCUCGCAAGGGCCCUUGCUUUCGUUAGAGUUAUUGUCAGCGAUGACCUCAGCUGAGGGUAUGCUGUUUGGUUUCCUUUGUUCCAGUCUGUAAUCAAACUUUGUUCCUUCUAACAAGAAGGCGCAGAGCUCCUACCGUAUUUGAAAAGAGUAUGUUUACCCAGUUAUUUUCGUUCUCACUAGAUUGCUUGGCUGUAGAUUGGAAUUAGAAAGUGCAACCUAGGGUUUGUCCUUUUGAAACUUGGAUAGGCAUCACUUUGCUAUGACCCUUCUUUUGUAGCUCAUAGUUUGUACUGGGUACAUGUUCAAUGAUUGGUUCACAACAUAUAAUGACUGUCCACUAUAUUCAUACUGGUCCGACUCCUAUACUUUCACAUAAUAAUAUGUGCAGAGAUUUUACAAAAUAGUGAGAGCUCAUUUCAUAUGGUUUGAUACUAGUACUAAAUACACACUUCAAUAUGUAGCUGUAUUCAAUAUUAGCAGUUCCAUUUUCAUGCUUCCAUUGUUUGCAGAGUGUACUGGCAUAUUUAUUCACAUAUAACCAUUUAGUGACCACUCAUCGCACUGCAGAAUUGGCCGCUGUGUGAAGGUUUAGGUCAUAUAAUUUUCUUCUUGACAAACAUAUUGUUUUCUUUCUGCCAGCCAGCCAUUGCAACCUUUCUGAUAGCAUUAAUUCAGUGCAUGUGCACACUAAAUAGUCCAGCUACAAGAGCACAUUGGAUCGAAGCUGGGGCGGGUUGCCGCCAGCCUGCUUGUAAUCAAUGAAUCUGUUGAUUCUGAGGUGAGCGUCUACCAGAAUUCCAGUUAUAUCUGAUCAGUUAGGCGUUAUUUUCUCUGCUAUCCUGUGGCUUCAGUUAGGCCUAGUAGCUAGUGGAUUCGAUCAUACCGACGAUAAAUAUUGUACGCGUCAAAAAUUUAUCUUCGCAUGUGAUGUUUCAAGACCUUUCUGUAAUAUCCUGUAGGAUAUCCCUGCUAACAGCAAGUAGCUUGUUCUGUCAGUUGUCGCUACAUAUAUCCUGAUCUCUGUUAUGCAAGUCCAGUCUCCAAAAGAUGGUGUUGAUGCAAGUUGCUUUAAAUUUUGUUGAUAAGACGAUGACAGGUAAUGGAUACAGUUAUGGUGAAAACAACUUAUUUUCUCUGUACAAGCUACAGCCAACUGAGCCAUGCUUGUCAUGCUAGUGUCCACUGUCAAUUUCAUGGCAUCUUAUGGCUGCUAGCCUGCAAGUGUCGCUAACUCAUAUGACUCGUGAUGCAGACUAACAUAGUGCAUGAUCACGUCCCAACUUUAACCGAUAGCUGCGUGGUCGACAACCAGUUGCAGUCUGCCUGUUCAUGUAUGCACUGAAUGUUACCAUUAUGCUGUUAAUAUCUGAACCCACUGUAACCAAAUUCGGAUAAACACCAAAUAUUCUUUUUUAAAUAAUUGGAAGAGGUGAAAAAUGAAAUAUCAGCUGUGAAAUAAUCAUAUAUUACCUCCGUCCCAAAUUACCUGUCUUAGAUUUUUGUAGAUACAGCUAACACUAAAACUGUCUAGAUACAUCCAAGACAAGUAAUACUGGACGGAGGGAAUAUGUGUUUCAGAUUUGUUUCAGAUUGAUCAAGGGUCAGAAGAAUAAGUUUGGUGUUUAGACUUGAGAUUAUUUUGAGAACAAAAUCACAUGUUUGUUCAGAAUACCAAAUUUAUAGAUCGAAACCAAAGAAUAAAUACUGCUACAAGCUUACCACCACAUCUUCAGAAUCAUGCCUGGGAAAUUUCUACCUCUUUCUAGUUCAACAAAGUAAGUAUUUGUCUAAUCACUUCUAUUUCCAAUAAUUUACACCAUAUCUUAUUCCAUCUCAGAAUGGUGGCAAGAUUGUUUGCCACAUCGGCCUCAUCAUCUGCGGCGAGCUCAUCGGCUGCAGGUAGCCGCUGCCGUUCUGCCCAGGCAUCGUUGUUGGGUUCACCAUCUGCCCCAUGUUCAUAUAACAAGUCUGCAGGUCGUCCAUACUCAGGCCGGUGAACCAGUCGCUGUCCUCCUUCACCGUCACCAUCCUCGCCUGCUGCUGCGCCAUGUCCAUGAAACCAUGCUGCUGCAGGCCGGAGGCGCUGUCGAUCUCGGAGGAGUCGUGCGUCUGGAAGCUGUCGGACAUGGCGUCGGUCGCCAGCGCGUCCAUGACCUCCCCGUUCGGCCCGGCCUCCACAGCCAUGUCCUGCUCCACCUUGAGCUUCUCCCAGUUGUUCUUCUUGUUGUACAGCCGGCACAGCACCCAUUCGUCCAGCUGUAAUAGCCGCACAUCACAGAGAGAGAAGGAUCAGUAUUCAGUAUCGAUUGAUUGAUCAGUAUUGUUGGUGAGCAAAGUGCAAACUGAAAGGAAGACGCUGGGGUUACCUUGAGGGAUCCCUUCUUGCCGGGUGCGCGGUCGGCUUCGGCGAUGCGGUACUCGUGCAUGAUCCAGUCGGUCUUGACGCCCCUGGGCGCCCUGCCGGAGUAGAAGACGAGCGCUUUCUUGAUGCCGACCGUCCUGCCGCCGCUCUCCCUGGGCGCCACCGGCUUGUCGGCGCCCGUGGCCUUCCAGUAGCCGGUGCCGGCGGAGCGGUUGGGGCGCGAGCCGUUGGGGUACUUGCGGUCGCGCGGCGUGAAGAAGUACCACUCCCUGCUCCCGAACAGCGCCCUCUCUGCACGAACGCCAAGGUCAGCACAGCACACACUGAAGGAGCAAGAACGAGGAAGCCAAGAAGGAGGAAGGAGGAGAGGAAAAAACAGGGGAGGGGAGGGGAGAGAGGAGGAAGAGAAGGCGCACCGGGCAGAUCCCAGGGGUUGAACUUGUAGAGAUCGACCUCGGCGAUGAUGGGCACGGGCUGCGGCUGGCCGGCCACCUUCCUGCAGAGGUAGUGCACGACGAGCUCGUCGUCCGUGGGGUGGAACCGGAAGCCCGGCGGCAGGUUGAGCUCCGCCUCCGCGUCCCUCCGCCCGCUGCUCCCCUCCGCCCCCGCCGCCGCCCCCGUCGGCUCAGCCUUCACCAUUGCCGUCAUCAUCCUCCUCCUCCUCGCGUUCGCUCGCUCGCUCGCUCGCUCCACCACCUUGGAGAAAAGCCCAGCCCUCGCGCGGUGGUGCCGCGGUGUUGGAAGGGAAGAGAAAGGCGGCUGGUUGUGAUACCGCCUCCUGGGACCUGGAGCCCUUCUCUUUAGUCGAUGGCUCGUUUCCUUGGCGACCAAGUACGUUUGUAGGGCGGGGCGCCCGGGGCGGCUAUAUACGGGCCCCCGCCCGCGCCACGUGGGCCGCGGCGGGCCCGCGCGUGCCCCCGAGCUGCUCGUGGCGUGGGCUUGGAUGAGGACGGCCGGCCGUGCGCUGCUGCGCGGAAGUUUCCCGCGGCGACAAGAGUUUGACCCCUCCCGACGGCUGCGCUGAAAGGGACGGAAGGGUCAAAAGCGCGCGGGAGGGAUUUUCCGGCGGGAAAAUAUAUCCCCGCGACCAGCCUCGGCGGCCCGUCGAAUGGCCGCGCGUCUAGGUGCGUCGGCAGGCGCGGGCUGGUCCUCCGUGUUCUCGACCUCUCAUCUGCUGCAUUGCACCACGUGCGAGUUGCGGCGGCCAUGCACUACUAUGUCGUGAUACGUGGAGGAAGGUAUGAGGACAUGAGGUUACGACCCGCGCAUGCGCAUGGCAUGCCUGCAUGCGUGAAGGUUUUCUUUCCAUCGCGCCUUGGAUUUUUCUCCGGGGAAAACUUUUAAAAGUUGAGGGAUCACGCUAAGCUAGAAUGCUACGUGACCCUUCAAAGAUGCCAUUGUUUAGUUUCGGCCUAUAAACGUGGAUACAUGACCACGUCAAGUCCUACUCUCUGUGUAUAGAAGAAAAUAAACGUGGAUGCAAUUUUUUUCUAAAAAUUAAGACAUUAAUCCAGGCGGUCUAUAUUAAUGUCUAUAUUAAACUAUAUUGAAACGAGUAACACAUACACUAAAGCAUGUCUAUGUACAUUUAAUUCAGAAAAAAAGUUACAACAUCUUAUAUUCAUGAACGAAGGAAGUACAUAUGUCAUUUUUUUCUUUUUUUUUGCGGGAAAAACUUUCAAUCUAUUUAUCUUCAAUCAUGGUAAUACAACGAACACUAGAAAUAAUAAAAAUUACAUCAAGGUCCGUAGACCACCUAGCGACGACUACAAGCACUGAAGCGAGCUGAAGGCGCGCCGCUGUCAUCGCCCCUCCCUUGCCGGAGCCGGGCAGACGUUGUUGUAGUAGACAGUCGGGAAGUCGUCAUGCUAAGACCCCAUAGAACCAACGCACCAGAACAGCAAACCGCCGCAGAUGAAGAGUGUAGAUCAAAGGAUCCACCCUAAAGAUACACGAACGAAGACGAACGACGAACAGAUCCGAGCAAAUAUAUCCACCAAAGAUAGAUCUGCCGGAGACACACCUCCAUAGGCCCAUCAAUGAUGCUAGACAACUCACCGGAACGGAGGCUAGGCGGGGAGACCUUUAUUCUAUCUUCAGGGAGCCGCAGCCGUCUCGCUUUCAUGAAUAGGACGCAAACCCUAAUAAAACUCAAAAAAAGAUCUAAAAACGGAGCCCUCUCACCGGCAAAGGCCGAGAUCCACUCCAUCUCCAUGGCCUAAGGCCACCGGAGACGGGGCGGACCGGCGCCGGCGCCGGCGGGAGGCAGAGAACCCUAACUUUUUGAAGGCGGCGGCUGGCUAGGAAGACCGUGGCUCAAUCCUGGACCACUUUUUAUUUCUGCGAAAGGAAAUAAUUCACAACUAAAUGGGAAGUACAUAUGACAUUUCAAUUGCGUCCAACAUGGAUUAUCACCGUCCUACGGGCCAACAUAGUUAAUUCCCAUGUCGGCCACGGAAGGAUAUGCUUGAAACAUUAUCUAUCUUCACAAUUCAUAAUUCUCAAGUCGAUCCACAGAACAGAAGGAUAUGCUUGAAACAUUAUCUAUCUUCACAGUUCAAAAUUCUCAUGCCGAUCCACAGAAGAACAGAAGGAUAUGCUUGGAACAUCACAACAUUUAAACAAUUCAAGUUCCCCAAAAAGGAAAUUUUAAACAAUUCGAGAGGAUAAUGCUCAAGCUUGGCCUGUUCAUACCGAAGCAUACCACAUACUCCUACCUAGUACCGCCAUCUGUUUACCUAGUCAGGGACACCUAGAGAGACAGAGUAGGUCUAUCUCCUCUUGUCUGUAUAGUACAGUAAAAUAAAGAAAUCUGGCCCAAUCUGCACGUGCCUCCCUCCUCCUGGAUGGCCACCUACGUGCACUGAACCUGAACCUCACCCGGGCGCGCCUCCAGCCGCGACGGCGGGGGUGGGGUGGCGAGCAAAUCCUCGACCCGGGCCACCCGGCGGAGGUGCGGUUGGUCGGCCAGCCGUAUGGCAGAUAAAAGAAAAAGGAUAGCGCCUUGUCGGCGGCCGAGGUUUCUCAUUCCCCCGGCGGUGGACUAUGGUAUGAAAUUCCAGCCGAAAAGGACGGACGGGCGGGCAGUUCCGGGGAAAGCGAUGGACUUUUUGUCGUGGUGACAGUGAGCUUACGUUUUCCCAUGGGCCAAAACUGGAUUGGGCUGGGGAUUUUCUUCAGUUUAAUUUACAAGAUUGCUGUGUUGAUUCGCUGUCAGGUUACCGCUCUUGGUAUCGCACAGCUGGUGACUGCCGGGAUUAGCUGUGAUCCGGUGAGUGGCAUGUCGCGUUGCAUACAUCACUGGCCGCGUCUCGGCUAUCGGAAUGACGGGGAGCACUCGAGAUAUUAUUAUCCGCCGAUACUUUGGUGGGCCCUUGAUGGAUUUCUGUGGAAGCUUUGUUUCUGUCCUGUUCCGUAAACUAUUGCGGAGAUUGAAAUUAAGACAUGUGGGAGGAGGUGUGUGGGCAAGUUAACUGCAAUUGGGCAUCGCAGUUGAUUUUACAUGUGGUGUGCUUUUAGAAAAUGAAAACUAAGUUACCACCAGCUUGCCAAACAGGGGAGUAUCCAAACUCCACACCACAGCCAGCAGUGUCGACGUUGGGGCUAUGGAGCCAGUCCUGUCAGCGCCUCAGGCAGCGCCAUAGAUGAUCAGGAAGCAGCGACAACAGGCGAAGACCCCGUUCAUCGUCCGACAAGCAGACGAAGGGCGGCAGAGUUCAAAUCAUCUCGUGGGCCUGCGGCACGGCCCACUCGAGUGAAGACGAAGCCCAUCUGGAACGUCGGCCCGGAAUGGACGUCCUAGUUUAAAUACCCCUUGUAACGUUUGAAUCGAGUUGGCUUGGAUCGGACGGCGGCUUCGGCCGAUUGUAACUAGCUGUAGCAGUGAGGGAGGUUGGGAGGAUAAACACGCUACCGAAUUUCCCCAUUUCGCCAUGAACUCUAGUUUCCUCUCAUAGAUCGAUCGCGACCCUUACACUUGGUAUCAGAUUCGGCGGUCCUGGCGCUUCCCCAACAUCACCACGAGACGCGGUGCACCAGUUCAGCCACGCGCCAUGGAGCCACCUCGUGUAAAUACAGCUCCUCCUCGUUAUGUGUCAACACCUCCGGGUCACUUCUCCAACCCCCUGGAAAACCUCAUCGCGGCAUCGGCUCGUUUGGCGGCUCUCCCAAUGGAAGGCGACUCGCCAGCAGCAAUUGAAACCCGAAGGGUGAGAGAACUGUUGGGGAACGUAGCCGAAAUUCAAAAUUUUCUACGCAUCACCAAGAUCAAUCUAUGGAGAAGUCUACCAACGAGGGAAGGAGAGUGCAUCUACAUACCCUUGUAGAUCGCUACGCGGAAGCGUUCAAGAGAACGGGGUUGAUGGAGUCGUACUCGUCGUGAUCCAAAUCACCGAUGAUCCUAGUGCCGAACGGACGGUACCUCCGUGUUCAACACACGUACAGCCCGGUGACGUCUCACAUGCCUUGAUCCAGCAAGGAGAGAGGGAGAGGUUGAGGAAGACUCCAUCCAGCAGCAGCACAAUGGCGUGGUGGUGGUGGAGGAGCGUGGCACUCUAGCAGGGCUUCGCCAAGCACUGCAAGAGACGAGGAGGGAGAGGGGUAGGGCUGCGCCAAGAAGGAGAGGAACUCGUGUGUGUUGGGCAGCCCAAACCUCAAGUAUAUAUAGGGGAAGGGGAGGGGCUGCGCCCCCACCUAGGGUUCCCUCCCUAGGGGUGGCGGCAGCCCCCAGAUCCCAUCUGGGUGGCGGCCACAAGGGGGAGAGGGGGAGGCGCACCUGGGGUGGGCCUUGGGGCCCAUCUGCCCUAGGGUUUGCCCCCUUUCCCUCUUGGAGGCGCCUUGGGCCUUGGUGGGAGGUGCCCCAGCCCACCUAGGGGCUGGUCCCUUCCCACUAUUGGCCCAUGUAGGCCUCCGGGGCUGGUGGCCCCACUUGGUGGACCCCUGAGACCCUCCCGGUGGUCCCGGUACGUUACCGAUGAACCCCGAAAGUUUUCCGGUGACCAAAAUAGGACUUCCCAUAUAUAAAUCUUUACCUUCGGACCAUUCCGGAACUCCUCGUGAUGUCCGAGAUCUCAUCCGGGACUCCGAACAACAUUCGGUAACCACGUAUAUCUAUUCCCUAUAACCCUAGCGUCAUCGAACCUUAAGUGUGUAGACCCUACGUGUUCGGGAAACAUGCAGACAUGACCGAGACACCUCUUCGGUCAAUAACCAACAGCGGGAUCUGGAUACCCAUGUUGGUUCCCACAUGUUCCACGAUGAUCUCAUCGGAUGAACCACGAUGUCGAGGAUUCGAUCAAUCCCGUAUACAAUUCCCUUUGUCUAGCGGUAUUGUACUUGCCCGAGAUUCGAUCGUCGGUAUCCCAAUACCUUGUUCAAUCUCGUUACCGGCAAGUCUCUUUACUCGUUCCAUAACACAUCAUCCCGUGAUCAACUCCUUGAUCACAUUGUGCACAUUAUGAUGAUGUCCUACCGAGUGGGCCCAGAGAUACCUCUCCGUCACACGGAGUGACAAAUCCCAGUCUCGAUUCGUGCCAACCCAACAGACACUUUCGGAGAUACCUGUAGUGUACCUUUAUAGCCACCCAGUUACGUUGUGACGUUUGGCACACCCAAAGUAUUCCUACGGUAUCCGGAAGUUGCACAAUCUCAUGGUCUAAGGAAAUGAUACUUGACAUUAGAAAAGCUUUAGCAUGCGAACUACAUGAUCUUGUGCUAUGCUUAGGAUUGGGUCUUGUCCAUCACAUCAUUCUCCUAAUGAUGUGAUCCCGUUAUCAAUGACAUCCAAUGUCCAUGGUCAGGAAACCGUAACCAUCCAUUGAUCAACGAGCUAGUCAACUAGAGGCUUACUAGGGACAUGGUGUUGUCUAUGUAUCCACACAUGUAUCUGAGUUUCCUAUCAAUACAAUUCUAGCAUGGAUAAUAAAAGAUUAUCAUGAACAAGGAAAUAUAAUAAUAACUAAUUUAUUAUUGCCUCUAGGGCAUAUUUCCAACAGUCUCCCACUUGCACUAGAGUCAAUAAUCCAGUUCACAUCGAUAUGUGAUUAACACUCAAGGUCACAUCCCCAUGUGACUAACACCCAAAGAGUUCUGGGUUUGAUCAUGUUAUGCUUGUGAGAGAGGUUUCAGUCAAUGGGUCUGCAACAUUCAGAUCCGUAUGUACUUCGCAAAUCUCUAUGUCAUCUUGUAGAUGCAACUACUACGCUACAUUUGGAGCUAUUUCAAAUAACUGUUCUACUUGGAGCUAUUCCAUUAUACGUAUCCGGUAUCUCUACUCAGAGCUAUCCGGAUAGGUGUUAAGCUUGCAUCGACGUAACUCUUUACGUCGAACUCUUUAUCACUUCCAUAACCGAGAAACAUAUCCUUAUUCCUCUAAGGAUAAUUUAGACCGCUACCUGGUGAUCUACUCCUAGAUUACCUUUGUACCCUCUUGCCAGAUAUGUGGCAAGGCACACAUCAGGUGCGGUACUCAGCAUGGCAUACCGUAUAGAGCCUAUGACAAAAGCAUAGGGGACGACCUUCGUCCUUCCUCUUUCUUCUGCCGUGGUCGAGCUUUAAGUCUUAACUUCAUACCUUACAACUCAGGCAAGAACUCCUUCUUUGACUGAUCCAUCUUGAACACCUUCAAGAUCAUGUCAAGGUAUGUCCUCAUUUGAAAGUACCAUUAAGCGUUUUGAUCUAUCCUUAUAGAUCUUGAUGCUCAAUGUUCAAGUAGCUUAAUCCAGGCUUUCCAUUGAAAAACACUUUCCAAAUAACCCUAUAUGCUUUCCAGAAAUUCUACGUCAUUUUUGAUCAACAACAUAUAUUCAUCAGAAAUUCUAUAGUGCUCCCACUCACUUCUUUGGAAAUACAAGUUUCUCAUAAACUUUUUAUACACCCAAAAUCUUUGAUCAUCUCAUCAAAGCAUACAUUCCAACUCCGAGAUGCUUACUCCAGUCCUUAGAAGGAUUGCUAGAGCUUUGCAUACUUAUUAGCAUCUUUCAGGAUUGACAAAACCUUCCAGUUGUAUCACAUACAACCUUUCCUCAAAAAAUCAUCGAGGAAACAAUGUUUGACAUCCUAUCUGCAAGAUUUCAUAAAUAAUGCAGUAAUCUCUAAUAUAAUUCCAAUAGACUCUUAGCAUUGCUACGAGUGAGAAAGUCUCAUCAUAGUCAACUCCUUGAACUUGUCGGAAAAAAUCUUAACGACAAGUCAAGCUUACUUAAUGGUGAUACUUACCAUCAUUGUCCGUCUUCCUUUUAAAAUCCAUCUGUACUCAAUAGCCUUACGACCAUCGAGCCGUUCUGCCAAAGUCUACACUUUGUUUUCAUACAUGGAUCCUCUCUCGGAUUUUAUGGACUCGAGCCAUUUAUCGGAAUCCGGGCCCACCAUCGCUUCUCCAUAGCUCGUAGGUUCAUUGUUGUCUAGCAACAUGACUUUCAAGACAGGAUUACGUACCACUCUGAAGUAGUACGCAUCCUUGUCAUCCUACGAGGUUUGGGAGUGACUUGAUCCAAAGUCUCAUGAUCAAUAUCAUAAGCUUCCACUUCAAUUGGUGUAGGUGCCACAUGAACAACUCUUUGUGCCCUGCUAUACACUAGUUGAAGUGACGGUUCAAUAACCUCAUCAAGUCUCCACCAUCCUCCCACUCAAUUCCUCCGAGAGAAACUUUUCCUCGAGAAAGGACCCGAUUCUAGAAACAAUCCCUUAUUGCUUUCAGAUCUGAGAUAGGAGGUAUACCCAACUGUUUUGGUUGUCCUAUGAAGAUGCAUUUAUCCGCUUUGGGUUCGAGCUUAUCAGCCUGAAACUUUUUCACAUAAGCGUCGCAGCCCCAAACUUUUAAGAAAUGACAGCUUAGGUUUCUCUAAACCAUAGUUCAUACGAUGUCAUCUCAUCGGAAUUACGUGGUGCCCUAUUUAAAGUAAAUGUGGUUGUCUCUAAUGCCUAACCCAUAAACUAUCGUGGUAAUUGGAUAAGAGACAUCAUGGUAUGCAUCAUAUCCAAUAGGGUGCAGUUAUGAUGUUCGGACACACCAUCACACUAUGGUGUUCCAGGCUGUAUUAGUUGUGAAACAAUUUCCACAAUGUCUUAAUUCUGUGCCAAACUCGUAAUUCAGAUAUUCAUCUCUAUGAUCGUAUCAUAGAUGUUUUAUCCUCUUGUCACGACGAUCUUUCAACUUCACCCUGAAAUUACUUGAACCUUUCAAUAAUUCAGACUCAUGAUUCAUCAAGUAAAUAUACUCAACAUCUACUCAAAUCAUCUGUGAAGUAAGAACAUAACGAUAUCCACUACAUGCCUCAGCACUCAUUGGACCGCACACAUCAAAAUGUAUUACUUCCAACAAGUUGCUUUCUAGUUCCAUUUUACUGAAAACGAGGCUUUCAGUCAUCUUGCCCAUGUGGUAUGAUUUGCAUGUCUCAAGUGAUUCAAAAUCAAGUGAGUCCAAAUGGUCCAUUUGCAUGGAGUUUCUUCAUGCAUAUACACCAAUAGACAUGGUUCGCAUGUCUCAAACUUUUCAAAACGAGUGAGCCCAAAGAUCCAUCAACAUGGAGCUUCUUCAUGCGUUUCAUACCGAUAUGACUCAAAUUGCAGUGCUACAUUUGUGUGGUACUAUCAUUACUAUCUUAUACCUUUGGCAUGAAAAUGUGUAUCACUACGAUUGGGAUGGUAUUAUUCAAAUAAACAGAGUAACCAUUAUUCUCGUUAAAUGAAUAACCGUAUCGCGAUAGACAUAAUCCAAUCAUGUCUAUGCUCAACGCAAACACCAAAUAACAAUUAUUUAGGUUUUAAUACCAAUCUCGAUGGUAGAGGGAGCGUACGAUAUUUGAUCAACCUUGGAAAUACUUCCAACACAUAUCGUCAUCUCACCUUUUAGCUAGUCUCUGUUUAUUCUGUAGCCUUUUGUUUCGAGUUACUAACACUUAGCAACCGAACCGGUAUCUAAUACCCUGGUGCUACUAGGAGUACUAGUAAAGUACACAUCAACACAAUGUAUAUCCAAUAUACUUCUAUCGACAUUGCCAGCCUUCUUAUCUACCAAGUAUCUAGGGUAAUUCUGCUCCAGUGGCUGUUCCCCUUAUUACAGAAGCACUUAGUCUAGGGUUUGGGUUCAACCUUGGGUUUCUUCACUAGAGCAGCAGCUGAUUUGCCGUUUCAUGAAGUAUCCCCUUUUGCCCUUGCCCUUCUUGAAACUAGUGGUUUCACCAACCAUCAACAAUUGAUGCUCCUUCUUGAUUUCUACUUUUGUGGUGUCAAACAUCGCGAAUAUCUCAAGGAUCAUCAUAUAUGUCCCUGAUAUAUUAUAGUUCAUCACGAAGCUCUAGCAGCUUGGUGGUAAUGACUUCAGAGAAACAUCACUAUCUCAUCUGGAAGAUCAACUCCCACUCGAUUCAAAUGAUUGUUGUACUCAGACAAUCUGAGCACAAGCUCAACAAUUGAGCUUUUCUCCCUUAGUUUGCAGGCUAAGAAAAUCGUCGGAGGUCUUAUACCUCUUGACGUGGGCAUGAGCCUGAAAUCCCAAUUUCAGCCCUCGAAACAUCUCAUAUGUUUCACGACGUUUUAAAACAUCUUCGGUGCCUCAACUCUAAACCGUUUAACUGAACUAUCACGCAAUUACCAAAAUGUGUAUGUCAGAUGUUCGCAACAUCCACAGACGACGUUCGAGGUUCAGCACACUGAGUGGUGCAUUAAGGACAUAAGCCUUCUACUGUCUGCAUAAUCGCUACUAUCAACUUUCAACUAAUUUUCUGUAAGAACAUAUCUAAACAGCAGAACUAAAGCGCGAGCUAUGACAUAAUUUGCGAAGACCUUUUGACUAUGUUCAGGAUAAUUAAGUUCAUCUUAUGAACUCCCACUCAGAUAGACAUCCCUCUAGUCAUCUAAGUGAUCACAUGAUCCGAGUCAACUAGGCCGUGUCCGAUCAUCACGUGAGACGGACCAGUCAUCAUCGGUGAACAUCUUCAUGUUGAUCGUAUCUACCAUACGACUCAUGCUCGACCUUUCUGAUGGGGAACGUUGCAGAAAACAAAAUUUUCCUACGGUUUCACCAAGAUCCAUCUAGGAGUUCAUCUAGCAACGAGUGAUCGGAUUGCAUCUACAUACCUUUGUAGAUCACGCGCGGAAGCGUUCAAAGAACGGGGAUGAGGAAGGCGUACUCGACGUGAUCCAAAUCACCGGAGAUCCUAGCGCCGAAUGGACGGCACCUCCGCGUUCAACACACGUACGGUCAGCGUAACGUCUCCUUCUUCUUGAUCCAGCAAGGGGGAAAGAGAGGUUGAGGAAGAUGGCUCCAGCAGCAGCACAACGGCGUGGUGGUGAUAGAGCUGCAGUACUCCAGCAGGGCUUCGCCAAGCACUAUGGAGGAGGAGGAGGUGUUGGAGAGGGAGAGGGAGGCACCAAAGGCAAGGGUGAGAGGUCCUCCCUUCCCCCCACUAUAUAUAGGGGGCCUAGGGGGGGCGCCGGCCCUAGGAGAUCCAAUCUCCUAGGGGGGCGGCGGCCAAGGGAGGAAUCCCUCCUCCCCAAGGCACCUAGGAGGUGCCUUCCCCUUCUAGGACUCUUCCUUUAGGGUUUCCCCCACCCUAGGCGCAUGGGCCCUAGGGGGAAGUGGCGCCCCAGCCCACUUUGGGCUGGAUCCCUUCCCACUUCAGCCCAUGGGGCCCUCCGGGAUAGGUGGCCCCACCUGGUGGACCCCCGGGACCCUUCCGGUGGUCCCGGUACAAUACCGGUGACCCCGAAACUUGUCCCGAUGGCCGAAAUAGCACUUCCUAUAUAUAAUUCUUUACCUUCGGACCAUUCCGGAACUCCUCAUGAUGUCCGGGAUCUCAUCCGGGACUCCGAACAACAUUCGGGUUACUGCAUAUACAUAUCCCUACGACCCUAGCGUCACCGAACCUUAAGUGUGUAGACCCUACGGGUUCGGGAGACAUGUAGACAUGACCGAGAUUGCUCUCCGGUCAAUAACCAACAGCAGGAUCUGGAUACCCAUGUUGGCUCCUACAUGCUCCUCGAUGAUCUCAUCAUAUGAACCACGAUGUCGAGGAUUCAAGCAACCCCGUAUACAAUUCCCUUUGUCAAUCGGUAUGUUACUUGCCCGAGAUCUGAUCGUCGGUAUCCCAAUACCUCGUUCAAUCUCGUUACCGGCAAGUCACUUUACUCGUACCGUAAUGCAUGAUCCCGUGACCAGACACUUGGUCACUUUGAGCUCAUUAUGAUGAUGCAUUACCGAGUGGGCCCAGUGAUACCUCUUCGUCAUACGGAGUGACAAAUCCCAGUCUUGAUCUGUGUCAACCCAACAGACACUUUCGGAGAUACCCGUAGCAUACCUUUAUAGUCACCCAGUUACGUUGUGACAUUUGGUAUACCCAAAGCACUCCUACGGUAUCUGGGAGUUACACGAUCUCACGGUCUAAGGAAAGGAUACUUGACAUUGGAAAACUCUAGCAAACGAACUAUACGAUCUUGUGCUAUGUUUAGGAUUGGGUCUUGUCCAUCACAUCAUUCUCCUAAUGAUGUGAUCUCGUUAUCAAUGACAUCCAAUGUCCAUAGUCAGGAAACCAUGACUAUCCGUUGAUCAACGAGAUAGUCAACUAGAGGCUUACUAGGGACAUGUUGGUGUCUAUUAUUCACACAUGUAUUGCGAUUUCCGGAUAAUACAAUUAUAGCAUGAAUAAAGACAAUUAUCAUGAACAAGGAAAUAUAAUAAUAAUGAUUUUAUUAUUGCCUCUAGGGCAUAUUUCCAACAGUCUCCCACUUGCACUAGAGUCAAUAAUCUAGUUACAUUGUGAUGAAUCGAACACCCAAGGAAUUCUGGUGUUGAUCAUGUUUUGCUCUAGGGAGAGGUUUAGUCAACGGAUCUGCUACAUUCAGGUCCGUAUGUACUUUACAAAUAUCUAUGUCUCCAUCUUGAACAUUUUCACGAAUGGAGUUGAAGCGACGCUUGAUGUGCCUUGUCUUCUUGUGAAACCUGGGCUCCUUGGCAAGUGCAAUAGCUCCAGUGUUGUCACAAAAGAGCUUGAUCGGCCCCGACGCAUUGGGUAUUACUCCUAGGUCGGUGGUGAACUCCUUCACCCAAAUUUCUUCAUGCGCUGCCUCCGAGGCUGCCAUGUACUCCGCUUCACAUGUAGAUCCUGCCACGACGCUUUGCUUGCAACUGCACCAGCUUACUGCCCCACCAUUCAAAAUAUACACGUAUCCGGUUUGUGACUUAGAGUCAUCCAGAUCUGUGUCGAAGCUAGCGUUGACGUAACCUUUUACGACGAUCUCUUCAUCACCUCCAUAAAUGAGAAAUAUUUCCUUAGUCCUUUUCAGGUACUUCAGGAUAUUCUUGACCGCUAUCCAGUGUUCCUUGCCGGGAUUACUUUGGUACCUUCCUACCAAACUUACGGCAAGGUUUACAUCAGGUCUGGUACACAGCAUGGCAUACAUAAUAGAACCUAUGGCUGAGGCAUAGGGGAUGACACUCAUCUCUUCUAUAUCUUCUGCCGUGGUCGGACAUUGAGCUGAGCUCAAUUUCACACCUUGUAACACAGGCAAGAACCCCUUCUUAGACUGAUCCAUAUUGAAUUUCUUCAAUAUCUUAUCAAGGUAUGUGCUUUGUGAAAGACCUAUGAGGCGUCUUGAUCUAUCUCUAUAGAUCUUGAUGCCUAAUAUAUAUGCAGCUUCUCCAAGGUCCUUCAUUGAAAAACUCUUAUUCAAGUAGGCCUUAAUGUUGUCCAAGAGUUCUAUAUCAUUUCCCAUCAAAAGUAUGUCAUCUACAUAUAAUAUGAGAAAUGCUACAGAGCUCCCACUCACUUUCUUGUAAACACAGGCUUCUCCAUAAGUCUGCGUAAACCCAAACGCUUUGAUCAUCUCAUCAAAGCGAAUGUUCCAACUCCGAGAUGCUUGCACCAGCCCAUAAAUCGAGCGUUGGAGCUUGCAUACCUUGUCAGCAUUCUUAGGAUCGACAAAACCUUCCGGCUGCAUCAUAUACAAUUCUUCCUUAAGGAAACCAUUAAGGAAUGCCGUUUUGACGUCCAUUUGCCAUAUCUCAUAAUCAUAGAAUGCGACAAUUGCUAACAUGAUUCAGACGGACUUUAGCUUCGCUACCAGUGAGAAAGUCUCAUCGUAGUCAACCCCUUGAACUUGUCGAUAACCCUUAGCGACAAGCCGAGCUUUAUAGAUGGUCACAUUACCAUCCGCGUCUGUCUUCUUCUUAAAGAUCCAUUUAUUUUCUAUGGCUCGCCGCUCAACAGGCAAGUCAGUCAAAGUCCAUACUUCGUUUUCAUACAUGGAUCCUAUCUCAGAUUUCAUGGCUUCUAGCCAUUUGUCGGAAUCCGGGCCCGCCAUCGCUUCUUCAUAGUUUGAAGGUUCACCGUUGUCUAACAACAUGAUUUCCAAGACAGGGUUGCCGUACCACUCUGGUGCGGAACGUGUCCUUGUGGACCUACGAAGUUCAGUAGCAACUUGAUCUGAAGUUUCAUGAUCAUCAUCAUUAACUUCCUCUCUAGUCAGUGCAGGCACCUCAGGAACAUUUUCUUGAGUUGCGCCAUUUUCCGGUUCAAGAGGUAAUACUUCAUCAAGUUCUACUUUCCUCCCACUUACUUCUUUCGAGAGAAACUCUUUCUCUAGAAAGGAUCCAUUCUUGGCAACAAAGAUCUUGCCUUCAGAUCUGAGGUAGAAGGUAUACCCAAUAGUUUCUUUAGGGUAUCCUAUGAAGACACAUUUUUCUGACUUGGGUUCGAGCUUUUCAGGUUGAAGUUUCCUGACAUAAGCAUCGCAUCCCCAAACUUUCAGAAACGACAGCUUAGGUUUCUUCCCAAACCAUAAUUCAUACGGUGUCGUCUCAACGGAUUUCGAUGGAGCCCUAUUUAAAGUGAAUGCGACAGUCUCUAAAGCAUAGCCCCAAAAAGAUAGCGGUAAAUCGGCAAGAGACAUCAUAGAUCGCACCAUAUCUAAUAGAGUGCGAUUACGAUGUUCGGACACACCAUUACGCCGAGGUGUUCCAGGCGACGUGAGUUGUGAAACUAUUCCACAUUUUCUUAAGUGUGUGCCAAACUCGUGACUCAAGUAUUCUCCUCCACGAUCUGAUCGCAGGAACUUGAUUUUCCUGUCACGUUGAUUCUCAACCUCACUCUGAAAUUCUUUGAACUUUUCAAAGGUCUUAGACUUGUGUUUCAUUAAAUAGACAUACCCAUAUCUACUCAAUUCAUCAGUGAGGGUGAGAACAUAACGAUAGCCACCGCGAGCCUCAACACUCAUUGGACCGCACACAUCAGUAUGUAUGAUUUCCAAUAAGUUGGUUGCUUGCUCCAUUGUUCCUGAGAACGGAGUCUUGGUCAUUUUACCCAUGAGGCAUGGUUCGCACGUGUCAAAUGAUUCGUAAUCAAGAGACUCUAAAAGUCCAUCAGCAUGGAGCUUCUUCAUGCGUUUGACACCUAUGUGACCAAGGCGGCAGUGCCACAAGUAUGUGGGACUAUCAUUAUCAAUCUUACAUCUCUUGGUACUCACACUAUGAAUAUGUGUAGCAUUACGCUCGAGAUUCAUUAAGAAUAAACCAUUCACCAUCGGAGCAUGACCAUAAAACAUAUCUCUCAUAUAAAUAGAACAACCAUUAUUCUCGGAUUUAAAUGAGUAGCCAUCUCGUAUUAAAUGAGAUCCUGAUACAAUGUUCAUGCUCAAAGCUGGUACUAAAUAAAAAUUAUUGAGGUUUAAAACUAAUCCCGUAGGUAAAUGAAGAGGCAGCGUCCCGACGGCGAUCACAUCGACCUUGGAACCAUUCCCGACGCGCAUCGUCACCUCGUCCUUCGCUAGUCUCCGCUUAUUCCGCAGCUCCUGCUUUGAGUUACAAAUGUGAGCAACUGCACCGGUAUCAAAUACCCAGGAGCUACUACGAGUACUGGUAAGGUACACAUCAAUAACAUGUAUAUCAGAUAUACCUUUCGUUUUGCCGGCCUUCUUGUCUGCUAAGUAUUUGGGGCAGUUCCGCUUCCAGUGACCACUUUCCUUGCAAUAAAAGCACUCAGUCUCGGGCUUGGGUCCAUUCUUUGGCUUCUUCCCGGCAGCUUGCUUGCCGGGCGCGGCAACUCCCUUGCCAUCCUUCUUGAAAGCUUUCUUUUCCUUGCCCUUCUUGAACUUAGUGGUUUUAUUCACCAUCAACACUUGAUGUUCCUUUUUGACUUCUACCUCUGCUGAUUUCAGCAUUGCAAAUACUUCAGGAAUGGUCUUUUCCAUCCCCUGCAUAUUGAAGUUCAUCACAAAGCUCUUGUAGCUCGGUGGAAGCAACUGAAGGAUUCUGUCAAUGACUGCGUCAUCCGGGAGAUUAACUCCCAGCUGAGCCAAGCGGUUAUGUAACCCAGACAUAGUGAGUAUGUGCUCACUGACAGAACUGUUUUCCUCCAUCUUACAGCUGAAGAACUUGUCGGAGACUUGAUAUCUCUCGACCCGGGCAUGAGCUUGGAAAACCAUUUUCAGCUCUUCGAACAUCUCAUAUGCUCCGUGUCUCUCAAAACGCUUUUGGAGGCCCGGCUCUAAGCUGUAAAGCAUGCCGCACUGAACGAGGGAGUAGUCAUCGGUACGUGCCUGCCAAGCGUUCAUAACGUCUUGUUCUGCAGGGAGAACAGGUGCGUCACCUAGCGGUGCUUAUAGGACAUAAUCUUUCUUGGCAGCUAUGAGGAUGAUCCUCAGGUUCCGGACCCAGUCCGUGUAGUUGCUGCCAUCGUCUUUCAGCUUGGUUUUCUCUAGGAACGCAUUGAAGUUGAGGACUACGUUGGCCAUUUGAUCUACAAGACAUAUUGUAAAAUAUUUAGACUAAGUUCAUGAUAAUUAAGUUCAUCUAAUCAAAUUAUUCAAUGAACUCCCACUUAGAUAGACAUCCCUCCUGUAAUCUAAGUAUAACAUGAUCCGAGUUAACUAGGCCGUGUCCGAUCAUCACGUGAGAUGGACUAGUCAACAUCGGUGAACAUCUUCAUGUUGAUCGUAUCUUCUAUACGACUCAUGCUCGACCUUUCGGUCUUCUGUGUUCUGAGGCCAUGUCUGUACAUGCUAGGCUCGUCAAGUCAACCUAAGUGUUUGCAUGUGUAAAUCUGUCUUACACCCGUUGUAUGUGAACAUUAGAAUCUAUCACACCCGAUCAUAACGUGGUGCUUCGAAACAACGAACUGUCGCAACGGUGCACAGUUAGGGGGAACACUUUCUUGAAAUUAUUAUGAGGGAUCAUCUUAUUUACUACCGUCGUUCUAAGUAAACAAGAUGCAAAAACAUGAUAAACAUCACAUGCAAUCAAAUAAUAAUAGUGACAUGAUAUGGCCAAUAUCACAUAGCUCCUUUGAUCUCCAUCUUAGGGCUCCAUGAUCAUAUUGUCACCGGCAUGACACCAUGAUCUCCAUCAUCAUGAUCUCCAUCAUCGUGUCUCCAUGAAGUUUCUCGCCAACUAUUACUUCUACUACUAUGGCUAACACGUUUAGCAAUAAAGUAAAGUAAUUUACAUGGCGUUUCUCAAUGACACGCAGGUCAUACAAAAAAUAAAGACAACUCCUAUGGCUCCUGCCGGUUGUCAUACUCAUCGACAUGCAAGUCGUGAUUCCUAUUACAAUAGCAUGAACAUCUCAUACAUCACAUAUAUAUCAUUCAUCAUUCAUCACAACUUUGGCCAUAUCAUAUCACAAAGCACUUGCUGCAAAAACAAGUUAGACGUCCUCUAAUUGUUGUUGCAUGUUUUACGUGGCUGAAGUAGGGUUCUAGCAAGAACGUUUUCUUACCUACAUGAAAGCCACAACAUGAUUUGUCAACUUCUAUUUACCCUUCAUAAGGACCCUUUUCAUCGAAUCCGCUCCAACUAAAGUGGGAGAGACAGACACCCGCCAGCCACCUUAUGCAACUAGUGCAUGUUAGUCGGUGGAACCGGUCUCACGUAAGCGUACGUGUAAGGUUGGUCCGGGCCGCUUCAUCCCACAAUACCGUUGAAGCAAGAUAAGACUAGUAGCAGCAAGAAAGUUGACAACAUCAACGCCCACAACAAAUUGUGUUCUACUCGUGCAAGAGAACUACGCAUAGACCUAGCUCAUGAUGCCACUGAUGGGGAACGUUGCAGAAAACAAAAUUUUCCUACGGUUUCACCAAGAUCCAUCUAGGAGUUCAUCUAGCAACGAGUGAUCGGAUUGCAUCUACAUACCUUUGUAGAUCACGCGCGGAAGCGUUCAAAGAACGGGGAUGAGGAAGGCGUACUCGACAUGAUCCAAAUCACCGGAGAUCCUAGCGCCGAACGGAUGGCACCUCCGCGUUCAACACAUGUACGGUCAGCGUAACGUCUCCUUCUUCUUGAUCCAGCAAGGGGGAAAGAGAGGUUGAGGAAGAUGGCUCCAGCAGCAGCACGACGGCGUGGUGGUGAUGGAGCUGCAGUACUCCGGCAGGGCUUCACCAAGCACUAUGGAGGAGGAGGAGGUGUUGGAGAGGGAGAGGGAGGCACCAAAGGCAAGGGUGAGAGGUCCUCCCUUCCCCCCACUAUAUAUAGGGGGCCUAGGGGGGGGGGCGCCAGCCCUAGGAGAUCCAAUCUCCUAGGGGGGCGGCGGCCAAGGGAGGAAUCCCUCCUCCCCAUGGCACAUAGGAGGUGCCUUCCCCUUCUAGGACUCUUCCUUUAGGGUUUCCCCCACCCUAGGCACAUGGGCCCUAGGGGGAAGUGGCGCCACAGCCCACUUUGGGUUGGAUCCCUUCCCACUUCAGCCCAUGGGGCCCUCCGGGAUAGGUGGCCCCACCCGGUGGACCCCCGGGACCCUUCCGGUGGUCCCGGUACAAUACCGGUGACCCCGAAACUUGUCCCGAUGGCCGAAAUAGCACUUCCUAUAUAUAAUUCUUUACCUCCGGACCAUUCCGGAACUCCUCGUGACGUCCGGGAUCUCAUCCGGGACUCCGAACAACAUUCGGGUUACUGCAUAUACAUAUCCCUACAACCCUAGCGUCACCGAACCUUAAGUGUGUAGACCCUACGGGUUCGGGAGACAUGUAGACAUGACCGAGAUUGCUCUCCGGUCAAUAACCAACAGCGGGAUCUGGAUACCCAUGUUGGCUCCCACAUGCUCCUCGAUGAUCUCAUCGGAUGAACCACGAUGUCGAGGAUUCAAGCAACCCCGUAUACAAUUCCCUUUGUCAAUCGGUAUGUUACUUGCCCGAGAUCUGAUCGUCGGUAUCCCAAUACCUCGUUCAAUCUCGUUACCGGCAAGUCACUUUACUCAUACCAUAAUGCAUGAUCCCGUGACCAGACACUUGGUCACUUUGAGCUCAUUAUGAUGAUGCAUUACCGAGUGGGCCCAGUGAUACCUCUCCGUCAUACGGAGUGACAAAUCCCAGUCUUGAUCCGUGUCAACCCAAUAGACACUUUCGAAGAUACCCGUAGUAUACCUUUAUAGUGACCCAGUUACGUUGUGACGUUUGGUAUACCCAAAGCACUCCUACGGUAUCCGGGAGUUACACGAUCUCAUGGUCUAAGGAAAGGAUACUUGACAUUGGAAAACUCUAGCAAACGAACUAUACGAUCUUGUGCUAUGUUUAGGAUUGGGUCUUGUCCAUCACAUCAUUCUCCUAAUGAUGUGAUCUCGUUAUCAAUGACAUCCAAUGUCCAUAGUCAGGAAACCAUGACUAUCCGUUGAUCAACGAGCUAGUCAACUAGAGGCUUACUAGGGACAUGUUGGUGUCUAUUAUUCACACAUGUAUUACGAUUUCCGGAUAAUACAAUUAUAGCAUGAAUAAAGACAAUUAUCAUGAACAAGGAAAUAUAAUAAUAAUGAUUUUAUUAUUGCCUCUAGGGCAUAUUUCCAACAGUCUCCCACUUGCACUAGAGUCAAUAAUCUAGUUACAUUGUGAUGAAUCGAACACCCAUGGAAUUCUGGUGUUGAUCAUGUUUUGCUCUAGGGAGAGGUUUAGUCAACGAAUCUGCUACAUUCAGGUCCAUAUGUACUUUACAAAUAUCUAUGUCUCCAUCUUGAACAUUUUCACGAAUGGAGUUGAAGCGACGCUUGAUGUGCCUUGUCUUCUUGUGAAACCUGGGCUCCUUGGCAAGUGCAAUAGCUCCAGUGUUGUCACAGAAGAGCUUGAUCGGCCCCGACGCAUUGGGCAUGACUCCUAGGUCGGUGGUGAACUCCUUCACCCAAAUUGCUUCAUGCGCUGCCUCCGAGGCUGCCAUGUACUCCGCUUCACAUGUAGAUCCUGCCACUUCGCUUUGCUUGCAACUGCACCAGCUUACUGCCCCACCAUUCAAAAUAUACACGUAUCCGGUUUGUGACUUAGAGUCAUCCAGAUCUGUGUCGAAGCUAGCGUCGACGUAACCUUUUACGACAAGCUCUUCAUCACCUCCAUAAAUGAGAAAUAUUUCCUUAGUCCUUUUCAGGUACUUCAGGAUAUUCUUGACCGCUAUCCAGUGUUCCUUGCCGGGAUUACUUUGGUACCUUCCUACCAAACUUACGGCAAGGUUUACAUCAGGUCUGGUACACAGCAUGGCAUACAUAAUAGAACCUAUGGCUGAGGCAUAGGGGAUGACACUCAUCUCUUCUAUAUCUUCUGCCGUGGUCGGACAUUGAGCUGAGCUCAAUUUCACACCUUGUAACACAGCCAAGAACCCCUUCUUAGACUGAUCCAUAUUGAAUUUCUUCAAUAUCUUAUCAAGGUAUGUGCUUUGUGAAAGACCUAUGAGGCGUCUUGAUCUAUCUCUAUAGAUCUUGAUGCCUAAUAUAUAUGCAGCUUCUCCAAGGUCCUUCAUUGAAAAACUCUUAUUCAAGUAGGCCUUAAUGUUGUCCAAGAGUUCUAUAUCAUUUCCCAUCAAAAGUAUGUCAUCUACAUAUAAUAUGAGAAAUGCUACAGAGCUCCCACUCACUUUCUUGUAAACACAGGCUUCUCCAUAAGUCUGCGUAAACCCAAACGCUUUGAUCAUCUCAUCAAAGCGAAUGUUCCAACUCCGAGAUGCUUGCACCAGCCCAUAAAUCGAGCGUUGGAGCUUGCGUACCUUGUCAGCAUUCUUAGGAUCGACAAAACCUUCCGGCUGCAUCAUAUACAAUUCUUCCUUAAGAAAACCAUUAAGGAAUGCCGUUUUGAUGUCCAUUUGCCAUAUCUCAUAAUCAUAGAAUGCGACAAUUGCUAACAUGAUUUGGACGGACUUUAGCUUCGCUACCGGUGAGAAAGUCUCAUCGUAGUCAACCCCUUGAACUUGUCGAUAACCCUUAGCGACAAGCCGAGCUUUAUAUAUGGUCACAUUACCAUCCGCGUCUGUCUUCUUCUUAAAGAUCCAUUUAUUUUCUAUGGCUCGCCGCUCAACAGGCAAGUCAGUCAAAGUCCAUACUUCGUUUUCAUACAUGGAUCCUAUCUCAGAUUUCAUGGCUUCUAGCCAUUUGUCGGAAUCCGGGCCCGCCAUCGCUUCUUCAUAGUUUGAAGGUUCACCGUUGUCUAACAACAUGAUUUCCAAGACAGGGUUGCCGUACCACUCUGGUGCGGAACAUGUCCUUGUGGACCUACGAAGUUCAGUAGCAACUUGAUCUGAAGUUUCAUGAUCAUCAUCAUUAACUUCCUCUCUAGUCGGUGCAGGCACCUUAGGAACAUUUUCUUGAGUUGCGCCAUUUUCCGGUUCAAGAGGUAAUACUUCAUCAAGUUCUACUUUCCUCCCACUUACUUCUUUCGAGAGAAUCUCUUUCUCUAGAAAGGAUCCAUUCUUGGCAACAAAGAUCUUGCCUUCGGAUCUGAGGUAGAAGGUAUACCCAAUAGUUUAUUUAGGGUAUCCUAUGAAGACGCAUUUUUCCGACUUGGGUUCGAGCUUUUCAGGUUGAAGUUUCCUGACAUAAGCAUCGCAUCCCCAAACUUUCAGAAAUGACAGCUUAGGUUUCUUCCCAAACCAUAAUUCAUACGGUGUCGUCUCAACGGAUUUCGAUGGAGCCCUAUUUAAAGUGAAUGCGGCAGUCUCUAAAGCAUAGCCCCAAAAAGAUAGCGGUAAAUCGGCAAGAGACAUCAUAGAUCGCACCAUAUCUAAUAGAGUGCGAUUACGACGUUCGGACACACCAUUACGCCGAGGUGUUCCAGGCGGCGUGAGUUGUGAAACUAUUCCACAUUUUCUUAAGUGUGUGCCAAACUCGUGACUCAAGUAUUCUCCUCCACGAUCUGAUCGCAGGAACUUGAUUUUCUUGUCACGUUGAUUGUCAACCUCACUCUGAAAUUCUUUGAACUUUUCAAAGGUCUCAGACUUGUGUUUCAUUAAGUAGACAUACCCAUAUCUACUCAAGUCAUCAGUGAGGGUGAGAACAUAACGAUAGCCACCGCGAGCCUCAACACUCAUUGGACCGCACACAUCAGUAUGUAUGAUUUCCAAUAAGUUGGUUGCUUGCUCCAUUGUUCCUGAGAAUGGAGUCUUGGUCAUUUUACCCAUGAGGCAUGGUUCGCACGUGUCAAAUGAUUCAUAAUCAAGAGACUCUAAAAGUCCAUCAGCAUGGAGCUUCUUCAUGCGUUUGACACCUAUGUGACCAAGGCGGCAGUGCCACAAGUAUGUGGGACUAUCAUUAUCAAUCUUACAUCUCUUGGUACUCACACUAUGAAUAUGUGUAGCAUUACGCUCGAGAUUCAUUAAGAAUAAACCAUUCACCAUCGGAGCAUGACCAUAAAACAUAUCUCUCAUAUAAAUAGAACAACCAUUAUUCUCGGAUUUAAAUGAGUAGCCAUCUCGUAUUAAACGAGAUCCUGAUACAAUGUUCAUGCUCAAAGCUGGUACUAAAUAACAAUUAUUGAGGUUUAAAACUAAUCCCGUAGGUAAAUGAAGAGGCAGCGUCCCGACGGCGAUCACAUCGACCUUGGAACCUUUCCCGACGUGCAUCGUCACCUCGUCCUUCGCUAGUCUCCGCUUAUUCCGCAGCUCCUGCUUUGAGUUACAAAUGUGAGCAACUGCACCGGUAUCAAAUACCCAGGAGCUACUACGAGUACUGGUAAGGUACACAUCAAUAACAUGUAUAUCACAUAUACCUUUCGUUUUGCCGGCCUUCUUGUCUGCUAAGUAUUUGGGGCAGUUCCGCUUCCAGUGACCACUUUCCUUGCAAUAAAAGCACUCAGUCUCGUGCUUGGGUCCAUUCUUUGGCUUCUUCCCGGCAGCUUGCUUGCCGGGCGCGGCAACUCCCUUGCCAUCCUUCUUGAAAGCUUUCUUUUCCUUGCCCUUCUUGAACUUAGUGGUUUUAUUCACCAUCAACACUUGAUGUUCCUUUUUGACUUCUACCUCUGCUUAUUCCAGCAUUGCAAAUACUUCAGGAAUGGUCUUUUCCAUCCCCUGCAUAUUGAAGUUCAUCACAAAGCUCUUGUAGCUCGGUGGAAGCGACUGAAGGAUUCUGUCAAUGACUGCGUCAUCCGGGAGAUUAACUCCCAGCUGAGCCAAGCGGUUAUGUAACCCAGACAUAGUGAGUAUGUGCUCACUGACAGAACUGUUUUCCUCCAUCUUACAGCUGAAGAACUUGUCGGAGACUUGAUAUCUCUCGACCCGGGCAUGAGCUUGGAAAACCAUUUUCAGCUCUUCGAACAUCUCAUAUGCUCCGUGUCUCUCAAAACGCUUUUGGAGGCCCGGCUCUAAGCUGUAAAGCAUGCCGCACUGAACGAGGGAGUAGUCAUCGGUACGUGCCUGCCAAGCGUUCAUAACGUCUUGUUCUGCAGGGAGAACAGGUGCGUCACCUAGCGGUGCUUGUAGGACAUAAUCUUUCUUGGCAGCUAUGAGGAUGAUCCUUAGGUUCUGGACCCAGUCCGUGUAGUUGCUGCCAUCGUCUUUCAGCUUGGUUUUCUCUAGGAACGCGUUGAAGUUGAGGACUACGUUGGCCAUUUGAUCUACAAGACAUAUUGUAAAAUAUUUAGACUAAGUUCAUGAUAAUUAAGUUCAUCUAAUCAAAUUAUUCAAUGAACUCCCACUUAGAUAGACAUCCCUCCUGUAAUCUAAGUAUAACAUGAUCCGAGUUAACUAGGCCGUGUCCGAUCAUCACGUGAGACGGACUAGUCAACAUCGAUGAACAUCUUCAUGUUGAUCGUAUCUUCUAUACGACUCAUGCUCGACCUUUCGGUCUUCUGUGUUCCGAGGCCAUGUCUGUACAUGCUAGGCUCGUCAAGUCAACCUAAGUGUUUGCAUGUGUAAAUCUGUCUUACACCCGUUGUAUGUGAACGUUAGAAUCUAUCACACCCGAUCAUCACGUGGUGCUUCGAAACAACGAACUGUCGCAACGGUGCACAGUUAGGGGGAACACUUUCUUGAAAUUAUUAUGAGGGAUCAUCUUAUUUACUACCGUCGUUCUAAGUAAACAAGAUGCAAAAACAUGAUAAACAUCACAUGCAAUCAAAUAAUAAUAGUGACAUGAUAUGGCCAAUAUCACAUAGCUCCUUUGAUCUCCAUCUUAGGGCUCCAUGAUCAUCUUGUCACCGGCAUGACACCAUGAUCUCCAUCAUCAUGAUCUCCAUCAUCGUGUCUCCAUGAAGUUGCUCGCCAACUAUUACUUCUACUACUAUGGCUAACACGUUUAGCAAUAAAGUAAAGUAAUUUACAUGGCGUUUCUCAAUGACAUGCAGGUCAUACAAAAAAUAAAGACAACUCCUAUGGCUCCUGCCGGUUGUCAUACUCAUCGACAUGCAAGUCGUGAUUCCUAUUACAAUAGCAUGAACAUCUCAUACAUCACAUAUAUAUCAUUCAUCAUUCAUCACAACUUUGGCCAUAUCAUAUCACAAAGCACUUGCUGCAAAAACAAGUUAGACGUCCUCUAAUUGUUGUUGCAUGUUUUACGUGGCUGAAGUAGGGUUCUAGCAAGAACGUUUUCUUACCUACGUGAAAGCCACAACAUGAUUUGUCAACUUCUAUUUACUCUUCAUAAGGACCCUUUUCAUCGAAUCCGCUCCAACUAAAGUGGGAGAGACAGACACCCGCCAGCCACCUUAUGCAACUAGUGCAUGUUAGUCGGUGGAACCGGUCUCACGUAAGCGUACGUGUAAGGUUGGUCCGGGCCGCUUCAUCCCACAAUACCGUUGAAGCAAGAUAAGACUAGUAGCAACAAGAAAGUUGACAACAUCAACGCCCACAACAAAUUGUGUUCUACUCAUGCAAGAGAACUACGCAUAGACCUAGCUCAUGAUGCCACUGAUGGGGAACGUUGCAGAAAACAAAAUUUUCCUACGGUUUCACCAAGAUCCAUCUAGGAGUUCAUCUAGCAACGAGUGAUCGGAUUGCAUCUACAUACCUUUGUAGAUCACGCGCGGAAGCAUUCAAAGAACGGGGAUGAGGAAGGCGUACUCGACGUGAUCCAAAUCACCGGAGAUCCUAGCGCCGAACGGACGGCACCUCCGUGUUCAACACACGUACGGUCAGCAUAACGUCUCCUUCUUCUUGAUCCAGCAAGGGGGAAAGAGAGGUUGAGGAAGAUGGCUCCAGCAGUAGCACGACGGCGUGGUGGUGAUGGAGCUGCAGUACUCCGGCAGGGCUUCACCAAGCACUAUGGAGGAGGAGGAGGUGUUGGAGAGGGAGAGGGAGGCACCAAAGGCAAGGGUGAGAGGUCCUCCCUUCCCCCCACUAUAUAUAGGGGGCCUAGGGGGGGGGGCGCCAGCCCUAGGAGAUCCAAUCUCCUAGGGGGGCGGCGGCCAAGGGAGGAAUCCCUCCUCCCAAAGGCACCUAGGAGGUGCCUUCCCCUUCUAGGACUCUUCCUUUAGGGUUUCCCCCACCCUAGGCACAUGGGCCCUAGGGGGAAGUGGCGCCACAGCCCACUUUGGGCUGGAUCCCUUCCCACUUCAGCUCAUGGGGCCCUCCGGGAUAGGUGGCCCCACCCAGUGGACCCCCGGGACCCUUCCGGUGGUCCCGGUACAAUACCGGUGACCGCGAAACUUGUCCCGAUGGCCGAAAUAGCACUUCAUAUAUAUAAUUCUUUACCUCCGGACCAUUCCGGAACUCCUCGUGACGUCCGGGAUCUCAUCCAGGACUCCAAACAACAUUCGGGUUACUGCAUAUACAUAUCCCUACAACCCUAGCGUCACCGAACCUUAAGUGUGUAGACCCUACGGGUUCGGGAGACAUGUAGACAUGACCGAGAUUGCUCUCCGGUCAAUAACCAACAGCGGGAUCUGGAUACCCAUGUUGUCUCCCACAUGCUCCUCGAUGAUCUCAUCGGAUGAACCACGAUGUCGAGGAUUCAAGCAACCCCGUAUACAAUUCCCUUUGUCAAUCGGUAUGUUACUUGCCCGAGAUCUGAUCGUCGGUAUCCCAAUACCUCGUUCAAUCUCGUUACCGGCAAGUCACUUUACUCGUACCGUAAUGCAUGAUCCCGUGACUAGACACUUGGUCACUUUGAGCUCAUUAUGAUGAUGCAUUACCGAGUGGGCCCAGUGAUACCUCUCCGUCAUAUGGAGUGACAAAUCCCAGUCUUGAUCCGUGUCAACCCAACAGACACUUUCGGAGAUACCCGUAGUAUACCUUUAUAGUCACCCAGUUACGUUGUGACGUUUGGUAUACCCAAAGCACUCCUACGGUAUCCGGGAGUUACACGAUCUCAUGGUCUAAGGAAAGGAUACUUGACAUUGGAAAACUCUAGCAAACGAACUAUACGAUCUUGUGCUAUGUUUAGGAUUGGGUCUUGUCCAUCACAUCAUUCUCCUAAUGAUGUGAUCUCGUUAUCAAUGACAUCCAAUGUCCAUAGUCAGGAAACCAUGACUAUCCGUUGAUCAACGAGCUAGUCAACUAAAGGCUUACUAGGGACAUGUUGGUGUCUAUUAUUCACACAUGUAUUAUGAUUUCUGGAUAAUACAAUUAUAGCAUGAAUAAAGACAAUUAUCAUGAACAAGGAAAUAUAAGAAUAAUGAUUUUAUUAUUGCCUCUAGGGCAUAUUUCCAACACUUUCGGUCUCUUGUGUUCCGAGACCAUGUCUGUACAUGCUAGGCUCGUCAAGUCAACCUAAGUGUUUCGCGUGUGUAAAUCUGUCUUACACCCAUUGUAUGUGAACGUUAGAAUCUAUCACACCUGAUCAUCACGUGGUGCUUCGAAACAACGAACUAUCGCAACGGUGCACAGUUAGGGGGAACACUUUCUUGAAAUUUUAAUGAGGGAUCAUCUUAUUUACUACCGUUGUUCUAAGCAAAUAAGAUGCAUAAACAUGACAAACAUCACAUGCAAUCAAAUAGUGACAUGAUAUGGCCAUCAUCACUUUGCUCCUCUUGAUCUCCAUCUUCGGGGCUCCAUGAUCAUCAUCGUCACCGGCAUGACACCAUGAUCUCCAUCAUCAUGAUCUCUAUGAUCGUGUCUUCAUGAAGUUGUCUCACCAACUAUUACUUCUACUACUACAGCUAACGGUUAGCAAUAAAGUAAAGUAAUCACAUGACGUUUAUGUUGACAUGCAGGUCAUAAAUAAAUUAAGACAACUCCUAUGGCUCCUGCCGGUUGUCAUACUCAUCGACAUGCAAGUCGUGAUUCCUAUUACAAGAACAUGAUCAAUCUCAUACAUCACAUAUAAUUCAUCACAUUCUUCUUGGCCAUAUCACAUCACAUGGCAUACCCUGCAAAAACAAGUUAGACGCCCUCUAAUUGUUGUUUGCUUGUUUUACGUGGCUGCUACGGGUUUCUAGCAAGAACGUUUCUUACCUACGCAAAACCACAACGUGAUAUGCCAAUUGCUAUUUACCCUUCAUAAGGACCCUUUUCAUCGAAUCCGUUUCGACUAAAGUGGGAGAGACUGGCACCUGCUAGCCACCUUAUGCAACUAGUGCAUGUCAGUCGGUGGAACUUGUCUCACGUAAGAGUAUGUGUAAGGUUGGUCCGGGCCGCUUCAUCCCACAAUACCUUCGAAACAAGAUUGGACUAGUAACGGUAAGCAUAUUGAACAAAAUCAACGCCCACAACUACUUUGUGUUCUACUCGUGCAUAGAAUCUACGCAAUAGACCUAGCUCAUGAUGCCACUGUUGGGGAACGUAGCAGAAAUUCAAAAUUUUCUACGCAUCACCAAGAUCAAUCUAUGGAGAAGUCUACCAACGAGGGAAGGAGAGUGCAUCUAGAUACCCUUGUAGAUCGCUACGCGGAAGCAUUCAAGAGAACGGGGUUGAUGGAGUCGUACUCGUCGUGAUCCAAAUCACCGAUGAUCCUAGUGCCGAACGGAUGGCACCUCCGUGUUCAACACACGUACAACCCGGUGACGUCUCCCAUGCCUUGAUCCAUCAAGGAGAGAGGGAGAGGUUGAGGAAGACUCCAUCCAGCAGCAGCAGAACGACGUGGUGGUGGUGGAGGAGCGUGGCACUGCAGCAGGGCUUCGCCAAGCACCGCAAGAGACGAGGAGGGAGAGGGGUAGUGCUGCGCCAAGAAGGAGAGGAACUCGUGUGUGUUGGGCAGCCCAAACCUCAAGUAUAUAUAGGGGAAGGGGAGGGGCUGCGCCCCCACCUAGGGUUCCCUCCCUAGGGGUGGCGGCAGCCCCCAGAUCCCAUCUGGGUGGCGGCCACAAGGGGGAGAGGGGGAGGCGCACCUGGGGUGGGCCUUAGGGCCCAUCUGCCCUAGGGUUUGGCCCCUUUCCCUCUUGGAGGCGCCUUGGGCCUUGGUGGGAGGCGCCCCAGCCCACCUAGGGACUGGUCCCUUCCCACUUUUGGCCAAUGUAGGCCUCCGGGUCUGGUGGCCCCACUUGGUGGACCCCCGGGACCCUCCCGGUGGUCCCGGUACGUUACCGAUAAACCCCGAAACUUUUCCGGUGACCAAAACAGGACUUCCCAUAUAUAAAUCUUUACCUCCGGACCAUUCCGGAACUCCUCGUGACGUCCGAGAUCUCAUCCGGGACUCUGAACAACAUUCGGUAACCAUGUAUAUCUAUUCCCUAUAACCCUAGCAUCAUCGAACCUUUAGUGUGUAGACCCUACGGGUUCGGGAAACAUGCAGACAUGACCGAGACACCUCUCCGGUCAAUAACCAACAGCGGGAUAUGGAUACCCAUGUUGGUUCCCACAUGUUCCAUGAUGAUCUCAUCGGAUGAACCACGAUGUCGAGGAUUCGAUCAAUCCCGUAUACAAUUCCCUUUGUCUAGCGGUAUUGUACUUGCCCGAGAUUCGAUCGUCGGUAUCCCAAUACCUUGUUCAAUCUCGUUACCGGCAAGUCUCUUUACUCGUUCCGUAACACAUCAUCCCGUGAUCAACUCCUUGAUCACAUUGUGCACAUUAUGAUGAUGUCCUACUGAGUGGGCCCAGAGAUACCUCUCCGUCACACGGAGUGACAAAUCCGAGUCUCAAUUCGUGCCAACCCAACAGACACUUUCGGAGAUACCUGUAGUGUACCUUUAUAGCCACCCAGUUACGUUUUGACACUUGGCACACCCAAAGUAUUCCUAUGGUAUUCGGGAGUUGCACAAUCUCAUGGUCUAAGGAAAUGAUACUUGACAUUAGAAAAGCUUUAGCAUGCGAACUACACGAUCUUGUGCUAUGCUUAGGAUUGGGUCUUGUCCAUCACAUCAUUCUCCUAAUGAUGUGAUCCCGUUAUCAAUGACAUCCAAUGUCCAUGGUCAGGAAACCGUAACCAUCCAUUAAUUAACGAGCUAGUCAACUAGAGGCUUAAUAGGGACAUGGUGUUGUCUAUGUAUCCACACAUGUAUCUGAGUUUCCUAUCAAUACAAUUCUAGCAUGGAUAAUAAACGAUUAUCAUGAACAAGGAAAUAUAAUAAUAACUAAUUUAUUAUUGCCUCUAGGGCAUAUUUCCAACAAGAACUACUUCAGACAGCUCUGGCCCAGCAGGAUGCAUACUCCUAUAGUCGAGACAGGAUUCAUUCAACUCCUCGCCCAAGUCGGAGCCCAAGUUACAGUAGGCACAUGGAGUCUGCAGAGAUGUCAAGUAAUGCUCAACGCCACAACCGGCCAUAUAGGCAUGAGCCGGUGCGGGCUGGAGCCCUUAACCUGGCGGAUCAAGAGAGGAUUCUUCAAGAGGCGGAACGAGCGGCUCAAAUAGCAGCAGAGCAGGCGGCUCAUCAAACCUUUCCGGCUUAUCCAGCAACCUCGGUUGAGGCAGGAGUGGCCACAAGAACCGGAGGCGUACCUUGCUUGGUACCGGCCAUACACAAUGAGCGGUUGCCAAAAGAUUUCAAGGGGCCUCGUAAGGUGCCUAAUUACACGGCUGACCUAUAGUUGGUGGCUUGGAUUGAGAGUUAUGAGAUGGCUAUGGAGCUGUCGGAGGUUAGCGACGCUGCAAUAGCCAAGUAUUUUACCAUGAUGUUGGAUGGAACAACUCGGACCUGGUUGAAGGGAUUGCCACCCAAUUCUAUCGGCUCAUGGGCAGAGUUGAAAGCGCGGUUCAGCCAGAACUUUAAAGACACGUGUAAGUAGCCAAUGUCGAUUGUGGACCUGACCAAUUGUAAGAAGAGGACGGUGAGUCUACAACCCAUUGGGUGCGCCGGGUCAAGGAGAUAAUACAUUCAUCUGAUAAGAUGGAUGCCGGCUCAGCAGUCUUGAUGUUGGAGAAAAAUUGCUGUUUUGAACAUCUGAAGCAGAAGCUGGGGCGACUUAAAUGCAACUGUAAUGACAUGGGAACGUUGAUGGCGGCUCUUGCCAAGUAUGCUGAUUCUGAUACCACCAAGGACCCGGUGUCUGACGAAGAAAAGGCAACAAAGGGAAACAAGAACGGCAACGACAAGGGUCACCAGCAUAACCCGGUGAAUCAGGGAGGUAAUAAACGUAAGGCUGAUGAGUUUGUUGCUAAUACUAAUGCGCAGGGUGGUAAUCAGCGGCGCAAGGGCAGACAGCCCCCUUGGUCAGGCGGGUCAGGUCCCACUCUUGAGCAAUUGUUGAAUGAACCUUGUCCAAAGCACGGCACCCGGGAGAAGCCAGCCACCCACCUGUGGAAAGAUUGCACGAUCAUGAAGGCAUUUAAAAAUUCAAAUGCAUUUGAUGGGGGUCAUGGCCCAGGUGGCGGUUCAGGUGAAGGCGGCUUUCAGGGCCCGGGCGCCGGUUCAGGCGGAGGAGGUUUUCAAGGUCAAGGUUAUCCUGGUCACCAAGGAGGAUAUAAUCAGCAACACGGCCAAGGGAAUCAGCAGCAGCAAUUCGGUUAUCAGAGCAACCCAAAGCAGUUGAGUAGCGGACAGUAUCAUGUCUUUACUACCAGUUUAUGUAAGAGGGACCAGAAACUUCACAAGAGGGCCGUCAAUGCCGUUGAGCCGGCAAUUCCACGGUAUCUACGUUGGUCGGAGCAGCCUAUUGUGUGGAGCAGAGAGGAUCACCCGCCCCGGGUUGAUAAUCCGGGUCACUUGGCUUUGGUAGUGGCACCUCAGGUUGGUGGGUACAAGUUUACUAAGGUGCUCAUGGAUGGAGGCAGCAACAUCAACAUCCUCUACUAUGAGACGUUCCGUCGGAUGGGAUUGAUGGAUAAAAAUCUUAAAUAAUCCAACACUGUUUUUCAUGGUGUGGUGCCUGGUAAAUCGGCAUACCCAGUUGGUAAGAUUGAACUGGAAGUAGCCUUUGGGGAUGAGUAUGACUCCAGAGCGGAAAAAUUAACCUUUGAGGUGGUUAAGAUCAAAAGCCCAUAUCAUGCUCUGUUUGGGCGGCCGGCUUAUGCCAAGUUCAUGGCUCGGCCGUGUUACGUAUAUUUGCAGCUCAAGAUGCCGGGUCAUAAAGGCACCAUUACAGUACAUGGGAGCCGGAAGAUAGCCUUGGAAUGUGAAGAAGGUGAUGCUGCCUAUGCUGAAUCUGUUUGUGCAACAGAGGAGUUAAAAUUUCACAAGGAUCAUGUUGACCCGGCAGACAUGACGUCAUUAAAGAAACCAACAAUAGAGCAUGAGCCGGAGUUGAAAUUCAAAUCAGCUAAUGACAGUAAGAUGGUUGACUUUGUACCUGGUGACUCAUCCAAACAGUUUAUCAUCAGCGCAAACUUGGAUCCGAAAUAGGAAAGCGCACUCAUCGAGUUCAUCCAUGAGAACCGGGACAUCUUUGCAUGGAAACCUUCAGACAUGCCGGGUGUCCCGAGGGAACUCGCUGAGCACACUCUUAAUAUCGAUCCAAAAUUCAAACCUGUCAGACAGUUUCUCUGACGGUUCAAUGAAGAAAGACGCAAGGCCAUCGGGGAAGAGGUGGCCCGGCUCUUGGCAGCCGGGUUCAUUGUGGAGGUCUUUCACCCUGAAUGGUUAGCUAACCCGGUGCUUGUACUAAAAAAGAA
This 40643-nucleotide long non-coding RNA is filed under the name Triticum aestivum (bread wheat). RNAcentral describes it as "long non-coding RNA (TAES_LNC026058)". The stretch from base 537 to 651 matches the Rfam family "MIR1120/MIR1122 microRNA precursor family". Lineage: Eukaryota; Viridiplantae; Streptophyta; Magnoliopsida; Poales; Poaceae. The record is from RNAcentral.